RNAcentral lists this ribosomal RNA (399 nucleotides) under uncultured Alphaproteobacteria bacterium. Its description in RNAcentral is "bacterial SSU rRNA". It matches the Rfam family "Bacterial small subunit ribosomal RNA", at positions 9 to 436 of the family's 1533-position model. The record is from RNAcentral. Lineage: Bacteria; Pseudomonadati; Pseudomonadota; Alphaproteobacteria.
GAGUUUGAUCCUGGCUCAGAACGAACGCUGGCGGCAGGCUUAACACAUGCAAGUCGAACGAUGUAGCAAUACAUAGUGGCGCACGGGUGAGUAACGCGUGGGAAUAUGCCCUUUAGUUCAGAAUAACUACUGGAAACGGUAGCUAAUACUGGAUACGCCCUUCGGGGGAAAGAUUUAUCGCUAAAGGAUUAGCCCGCGUUAGAUUAGGUAGUUGGUGGGGUAAUGGCCUACCAAGCCUACGAUCUAUAGCUGGUCUGAGAGGAUGAUCAGCCACACUGGAACUGAGACACGGUCCAGACUCCUACGGGAGGCAGCAGUGGGGAAUAUUGGACAAUGGGCGAAAGCCUGAUCCAGCCAUGCCGCGUGAGUGANGAAGGCCUUAGGGUUGUAAAGCUCUUU